GUAUUUGUUCUUAUCAGUUGAAUAUCUGAUAUGUCCUUAAUUUAAAGACUGUAUAUUCCAUUGGUUUUCCAAACAGGGGGCUGGACUAGGAGCUUGCUCUGUCCACCCCAUACAUUGACCUCAUAUUGCAGUGUCUCCGAGAUUGGUGC
This 149-nucleotide small nuclear RNA is filed under the name Gopherus agassizii (Agassiz's desert tortoise). RNAcentral's name for it is "U2 spliceosomal RNA (ENSGAGG00000005831.1)". It matches the Rfam family "U2 spliceosomal RNA", at positions 36 to 185 of the family's 192-position model. From Rfam's summary of the family: U2 is a small nuclear RNA (snRNA) component of the spliceosome (involved in pre-mRNA splicing). Complementary binding between U2 snRNA (in an area lying towards the 5' end but 3' to hairpin I) and the branchpoint sequence (BPS) of the intron results the bulging out of an unpaired adenosine, on the BPS, which initiates a nucleophilic attack at the intronic 5' splice site, thus starting the first of two transesterification reactions that mediate splicing. The record is from RNAcentral. Lineage: Eukaryota; Metazoa; Chordata; Testudines; Testudinidae.